CCCUUAGAUGUCCGGGGCUGCACGCGCGCUACACUGAAGGAAUCAGCGUGCUAAAACCAUUGUCGAAAGGCAUUGGUAAACCCAUUAAAAUCCUACGUGAUUGGGAUCGGGAAUUGCAAUUAUUUCCCUUGAACGAGGAAUUCCCAGUAAGUGUGGGUCAUAAGCUCGCGUUGAUUACGUCCCUGCCCUUUGUACACACCGCCCGUCGCUGCCCGGGACUGAGCCGUUUCGAGAAAAGCGGGGACUGCUGCUGUCGGGGCUUUCGGGCCUUGGCUUCGGUGGAAACCGCUUUAAUCGCAGUGGCUUGAACCGGGCAAAAUUCGUAACA
RNAcentral lists this ribosomal RNA (328 nucleotides) under uncultured eukaryote. RNAcentral describes it as "partial 18S ribosomal RNA". It matches the Rfam family "Eukaryotic small subunit ribosomal RNA", at positions 1470 to 1796 of the family's 1831-position model. The record is from RNAcentral.